GUAGUCCACGCCGUAAACGGUGGGCGCUAGUUGUGCGAACCUUCCACGGUUUGUGCGACGCAGCUAACGCAUUAAGCGCCCCGCCUGGGGAGUACGAUCGCAAGAUUAAAACUCAAAGGAAUUGACGGGGCCCCGCACAAGCAGCGGAGCAUGCGGCUUAAUUCGACGCAACGCGAAGAACCUUACCAAGGCUUGACAUAUACAGGAAUACGGCAGAGAUGUCGUAGCCGCAAGGUCUGUAUACAGGUGGUGCAUGGUUGUCGUCAGCUCGUGUCGUGAGAUGUUGGGUUAAGUCCCGCAACGAGCGCAACCCUCGUUCUGCGUUGCCAGCAUUUAGUUGGGGACUCACAGGAGACUGCCGGGGUUAACUCGGAGGAAGGUGGGGAUGACGUCAAAUCAUCAUGCCCCUUAUGUCUUGGGCUGCACGCAUGCUACAAUGGCUGGUACAAACGGCUGCGAUACCGCAAGGUGGAGCGAAUCCGAUAAAGCCAGUCUCAGUUCGGAUUGGGGUCUGCAACUCGACCCCAUGAAGUCGGAGUUGCUAGUAAUCGUAGAUCAGCAACGCUACGGUGAAUACGUUCCCGGGGCUUGUACACACCGCCCGUCACAUCACGAAAGUCGGUAACACC
RNAcentral lists this ribosomal RNA (629 nucleotides) under uncultured Actinomycetes bacterium. RNAcentral's name for it is "bacterial SSU rRNA". It matches the Rfam family "Bacterial small subunit ribosomal RNA", at positions 790 to 1421 of the family's 1533-position model. Lineage: Bacteria; Bacillati; Actinomycetota; Actinomycetes. The record is from RNAcentral.